CCGCUGGCCCAACCAUUUCCCCCCAAAUCAAACCCUAGUUCCCAAUCCUCCUCCCCAACCAACACCGUCGUCGCCGCCGCCGACCACCUCCUCCCUGGACCGCGCCCUCCAUCGCCGACCACAUCCACCCACGACCGUGCUCUCCACCUCCCAUCCCUCCGCCGACCCAACCGCCCCUUCUCCAGUGAAGAAAUGCUUGAUCUCGGCUAGCGGCUGGUAGUGGCAAGUGCCUUCAUGACGGACUUGGUAGCUCCCGGAUGCUCCUUCUCCAAAGCCUUGGGCAGCGCACCGCCGGCACAUCUCGCCACCGUUCUCGCGCCUGGUCGUUGUCCUCAGCCCAGGUCGCUGCAGGUUGCUACCGUUCUCGUCCUCGACCAGGUCGCCGCCUUCCUUACCUAGGUCGUCGGCCUUGCUCUUCCUUAUCCAGGAGCUCGAGGCUCGCCUCAGAUCGACCGGCUUCCAGCUCCAGCCUCCCCUAGGUAUCCUCCACCGCCUGCUGCUACUUCUCUCCUCCGACGGCUGCAGCAAGCCAUUCCUGCUGGUGCUCGCCUCAGCCACUGACCAUGAGGCAGAAGAAGUCCGUCACAAGUUCUUUCCUAUGGUUGCAGGUGUAUGAGACUUCGGAGCUUCUAUAUGCAACAGCAAGAAGUGAGGAGGAACAAAUGAACCAUAAAAAGCUUAAAUUUGAACUCUGUUGGUAAUCUGCUGUUUUGGAAGUGGAUAAGUCAAUGGCAAAAGCAGCAACGUGGCCACAAGGAAGCUGAGGAGGUUUUCCAAAGAUACACAAGUUAAUGGAGGUUUGUAAGAUCUACAAGCGGUUGUCAAUUUUGGAAGAUCUACAACGACUGAAGGUGUGGAAGACCUAUAAUUAAGUUGGUGUAGUGAUAAUGUAGUGCACCUAGUUUGUUGAACCUGGAGUACUUUUUGUGCCAGCACAACGUCCUUAUGUAUGGCCCUUUUCUGUAUGUAUGUAUGUAUCCAGAAACAUAUGUAUCUGACAUGUUAUGUUUAUAUGACAUGUUAUGUUUAUAUCGAAGGAAAGCUUUAAGGUUUUGGAUGA
Molecule: RNA transcript, 1060 nt
Organism: Triticum dicoccoides
Lineage: Eukaryota; Viridiplantae; Streptophyta; Magnoliopsida; Poales; Poaceae
Exons: 4
Source: RefSeq, a predicted model, not a curated record